UCUUAUUAGUAUAAAAAUUACAAUUAGCUUCCAACUAAAAAAUCUCUGGAUAAGAUAA
Molecule: transfer RNA, 58 nt
Filed under: Melanastera paucipunctata
Lineage: Eukaryota; Metazoa; Arthropoda; Insecta; Hemiptera; Liviidae
Description: Diclidophlebia paucipunctata tRNA-Gly
Source: RNAcentral